Molecule: ribosomal RNA, 137 nt
Filed under: uncultured bacterium
Lineage: Bacteria
Description: partial 16S ribosomal RNA
Rfam family: Bacterial small subunit ribosomal RNA
Source: RNAcentral
UGAGGAAUAUUGGACAAUGGGGGAAACCCUGAUGCAGCGACGCCGCGUGGGUGAUGAAGGACUUCGGUUCGUAAAACCCUUUUACAGGUGACGAGAAAAGGACGGUAGCCUGUGAAGAAGCCUCGGCUAACUACGUG